RNAcentral lists this ribosomal RNA (144 nucleotides) under uncultured eukaryote. RNAcentral describes it as "partial 18S ribosomal RNA". It matches the Rfam family "Eukaryotic small subunit ribosomal RNA", at positions 1299 to 1458 of the family's 1831-position model. The record is from RNAcentral.
UGGUGGAGCGAUUUGUCUGGUCAAUUCCGAUAACGAACGAGACUCUAGCCUAACUAAAUAGUUCGGGGACCCCCACAAAGGGGCCCCGCUUCAACUUCUUAGAGGGACAGGUGGCGUUUAGCCACACGAGAUUGAGCAAUAACA